UUUGGAGGAAAAGAACUUCGCAAACCAAAAAAAACCCAGGAAAAUUGUUUAAAAUUUUCAGGGUUAAUAACGUUUGAUGUGUUUUCUAGGAAUAUAUAUAUAUAUGUAGCCAUGUUCUUUAUACCUAGCUAAGUCUCCAGUUUAUAUUUAAGUGACUAGCUAUUAGCUGCUGUAGCUAGCUAAUGCUAGCUUUAAACUAAAGAUUCCCAGUAUAUAUAAUCCCACAAAACACAUCAAACGUUAUUAACCCUGAAAAUUUUAAACAAUUUUCCUGGGUUUUUUUUGGUUUGCGAAGUUCUUUUCCUCCAAAUAUUCUGAAAAUAAAGUUCAGAAAUUACUUAUUUUUAAAAUGUAAAUUUAAUUUGUUUCAAAUUGUGGGCAAAAACCUUAAUCAGCAUGCUAAAAGAACUGACUUUUCUUAAUUUAGAAUUACUAAACACAACCAUUUUCUUACAUUUAGUGUAAACUUUUGUGCGUAUGGCUUAUAUUUAAUACACCAAAAGAGCUACUUUGUUGAUUUUAAUUUUAUACUCUUUGUAAGCUAUUUUUUUCUUCUUUUUGACAUUUCUGUUUUACCACUCAAUUUUUACAUUUUAUAAGUUAUUUGGAACAGAAUGGUAUGAAAUAGACCAAAAUACCUGAUCUUAGUUGUUUUUAAUUUACAGGCUGUGUCUGUGAAACUUUAAGGGGAACAUUUGGUGGAAGACAAUGGCAUGACAUAUACUGACAGAACUGUUUUUUGUUGCGUUAGAUGUUAUAUCUGAACCUUUUUGACAUUUUAUGUUAAUUUUGCGAGGAAGGACCAUAUAUAUAUACACAGAAGAAGAAUUCAAUUUUACACCUUGCAAGCUUUGUAUAAAUUCUUACUGGGGAGGACUCUGUGCAAUAUAUCGAAAUGACUGAUCCUUCUCGAUUUAAAUUUGAUGUGUUCUAAAUCGUAUAUAGGUUUGGAAAUUUUGUGUAAGAUUUAAUGGGUAAGGGCUAGAUGCAAUAUGUCAAAAAAACUUUUUUUGUUGAAUCAGAAGCACUCCCUACAACCAUUCUUUUUUUUACAGUUUGUGAAGCUUUUGUGAGGAAAGAGUGUA
This is a long non-coding RNA of Hydractinia symbiolongicarpus, 1085 nucleotides long. RefSeq lists it as uncharacterized. The transcript is spliced from 2 exons. NCBI's taxonomy places the organism in Eukaryota, Metazoa, Cnidaria, Hydrozoa, Anthoathecata, Hydractiniidae. The record is from RefSeq and is a predicted model, not a curated record.